GGACUAGGUCUGUCUGCUUCCAUGGCAUUCCCAAGCGUGGAGCGCAGUGCCUCCAGGCACAAGGCAGACACUGAAACACCACCUGGAGAAAGUCCUCUGGAAGUGUGCCCCAUUUCCCAAGGGUGCGUGAAAGGAGGAAGAGUCACUGAGCUCUCUCCAGGGCAGCAUUCCUUGGAUGGCCUUGGAUUCACCAGCAGCCCUUUAGGACCUACUCUGCUGGUCAGUAAAGGAACAGCUGCAGGACUU
This 246-nucleotide long non-coding RNA is filed under the name Homo sapiens (human). Its description in RNAcentral is "non-protein coding lnc-SLC16A14-2:1". The record is from RNAcentral. Lineage: Eukaryota; Metazoa; Chordata; Mammalia; Primates; Hominidae.